This 426-nucleotide ribosomal RNA is filed under the name uncultured bacterium. Its description in RNAcentral is "bacterial SSU rRNA". It matches the Rfam family "Bacterial small subunit ribosomal RNA", at positions 354 to 796 of the family's 1533-position model. The record is from RNAcentral.
GUGGGGAAUAUUGGACAAUGGGCGCAAGCCUGAUCCAGCCAUGCCGCGUGAGUGAUGAAGGCCCUAGGGUUGUAAAGCUCUUUCGACGGGGACGAUAAUGACGGUACCCGUAGAAGAAGCCCCGGCUAACUUCGUGCCAGCAGCCGCGGUAAUACGAAGGGGGCUAGCGUUGUUCGGAAUCACUGGGCGUAAAGCGCACGUAGGCGGAUCGUUAAGUCGAGGGUGAAAUCCCAGGGCUCAACCCUGGAACUGCCUUCGAUACUGGCGAUCUUCGAGUCCGGGAGAGGUGAGUGGAACUCCGAGUGUAGAGGUGAAAUUCGUAGAUAUUCGGAAGAACACCAGUGGCGAAGGCGGCUCACUGGCCCGGUACUGACGCUGAGGUGCGAAAGCGUGGGGAGCAAACAGGAUUAGAAACCCCAGUAGUCC